RNAcentral lists this ribosomal RNA (414 nucleotides) under uncultured bacterium. RNAcentral's name for it is "bacterial SSU rRNA". It matches the Rfam family "Bacterial small subunit ribosomal RNA", at positions 28 to 451 of the family's 1533-position model. The record is from RNAcentral.
GAUGAACGCUGGCGGCGUGCCUAACACAUGCAAGUCGAGCGAUUUUCUUCGGAGAAGAGCGGCGGACGGGUGAGUAACGCGUGGGUAACCUGCCCUGUACACACGGAUAACAUACCGAAAGGUAUGCUAAUACGAGAUAACAUACUUUUAUCGCAUGGUAGAAGUAUCAAAGCUUUUGCGGUACAGGAUGGACCCGCGUCUGAUUAGCUAGUUGGUAAGGUAACGGCUUACCAAGGCGACGAUCAGUAGCCGACCUGAGAGGGUGAUCGGCCACAUUGGAACUGAGACACGGUCCAAACUCCUACGGGAGGCAGCAGUGGGGAAUAUUGCACAAUGGGCGAAAGCCUGAUGCAGCAACGCCGCGUGAGCGAUGAAGGCCUUCGGGUCGUAAAGCUCUGUCCUCAAGGAAGAUAA